Molecule: transfer RNA, 77 nt
Filed under: Alcanivorax nanhaiticus
Lineage: Bacteria; Pseudomonadati; Pseudomonadota; Gammaproteobacteria; Oceanospirillales; Alcanivoracaceae
Also listed under: 18 other names
Description: tRNA-Pro
Rfam family: tRNA
About the family: Transfer RNA (tRNA) molecules are approximately 80 nucleotides in length. Their secondary structure includes four short double-helical elements and three loops (D, anti-codon, and T loops).
Source: RNAcentral
CGGGGCGUAGCGCAGCCUGGUAGCGCACUUGCAUGGGGUGCAAGGGGUCGGAGGUUCGAAUCCUCUCGCCCCGACCA